GUUGGUAAGGGAAGUACUGCUGAAACAUUGCCCAGACGAACAUCAGACUGGCGAUUAUCGAUCCCAGCUGAGCAAAAGCAUCCCCUGCCUUCAUCCUGGUAAACCCUCUCCCACUUCCUAUGCUCUCCUCCAGUCCGUGCUUCAAACUUGCUGAAUUAAUCAUCGGUUUGUGGUGUAUUUGUUUUGUGGGUUAUCUAUUGACAAGUUGUUGAAUUUAUAAAGACAGUCGAAUACUUUUUGGUUAGACCGAAUACGUGGCUUCUGACUCCGAGGCCAAUAAUACGUGUACGGUGUUUGACAAGUAUAAAAGUACAAGUAAGCCCUAUGUCGGCUAUUGCUUUUACUUUCAUAGCCCUCAUAAGUUAGAACAAGUCGAUUUUCUCCUUUUCUCUUUACCGUAAGGACGAAGAAUCCCUCUUUUAACAUCAGGACAAAUAGAAUGGUCUUUGUUUAAUAGUAUUUGAUUUAUCUACCUAAUAUUCAAAUCAGAUUUCUUUCAUUCUUAUCUAGCUGAUUGAGGAAAUGACGCUGAAAUUUUGGUACCUAGGACAUGCGCCAGCGGCAUUAAGAAUACUUGUUUUAUUUGGGUGGGUGAGAUGUCUAAGAAUCAGACAAUUAUUUGUCUGUGGAGGACAAGCUGUCUUCUGUGAGUAGCAUGGACCCUUUUAGUCUUUUAAUAAUCGAUGAUAAAAACCUUUAUAGUAACCCUUUUUGGCCAUUGAUUGGAUUGAUCACAAUACGUUUUCCCCCUUGUCUGUAAUUAACUAUGGGCUGAUAUGGCUGCUGGUUGUUGCAAAGGAUCAACAUCACUUGCCAGCAGUUGGCCACUCCUUGGAAUGAAGUCAUGCAUUUAGGAUUGAAGGAACUUUCAUUUAAGCAACUGAAUAAAUAAGAUAUUUAAGCAACUAAUUAGUCUCUUCUUCAGGAGCUUUCUGCCUUUAAGGGUGAUUACAGGCAUAAUCAAAAGGAUAGCACAACCGAAUGUUAAGCAAACUAAAUUAGAUAAGGUGAUAAGUUUAGCUAAUGAGCAGAAGUUAGUAACCAAGAUACUAGUAGUCUCCCAAAACAUAAGCAAUAACAGAUAACUAAACAAAAUCAUAAACGAGCUCAGGUUCUUAGCAUCAGAGCUGAAAUUCAUCCGACAUCACAUUCAUCUUCUUCUUGUUCUUCGUUGUCAUUGUCAUCUUCCUCUUCCUUGACCCUGCCUCCCUCCUUUGCUGUCUCCAGAUCCUGAAUCAACCGAUUCAAGCAAGUCGCAGCAUCUUCGUCGAUGGAUUUUUGCAUCAAGCUCUCAGCUACAUCAGCAGGGCUAAUCUUGAUCUUCUCCAACAGGCUUCGAAUGACUUCAAACAGCGGGUGUGAAUCGAUGCUGAGGUAGUUCCUGGCAAGCACCUUGAACCCUUCGAACUGACAGUAAGACAUUUCAAUAUGCUUGUCCAUCCUUCCUCUCCUGAUUAAUGCCUCAUCCAGCUUCUCAACGUGGUUGGUUGUAAAUAUUAUGAUUCUUUCCCCUCCACUUGCUAACCAAAUCCCAUCAAUUAUGUUCAGUAGCCCAGACAGAGUGACCUUGCUGCUGCUUUCAUCUUCACCUUCCGGCUCUGUCUCGUCAUCAUCAUCAUCAUUGUCGCUGUCUUCAUCUUCCGACUCCUCUUUACUGUCCUUGUUUUUCCUCUUCUUGCUUUUGCUCUUCUUCUUCUUCUUCUUUUUCGUCUUCGCCUUUGUCUUCUUCUUCCUUUGAUCUGUAAUAUCAAGGGAACAAUCGAUAUCCUCUAUAACAACAAUUGCCUUACUGCAUAUCUCAAUGAGCAGCUUUCUCAACUCUGUAUUAUCCUUCACAGCAGUCAACUCCAGAUCAUAGAUGUCGUAAUUCAGAAAGUUGGCUACAGCAGCAAUCAUGGUGGUUUUACCAGUCCCAGGCGGACCAUAAAGAAGGUACCCGCGCUUCCAAGCCUUUCCAAUCCUUGCAUAAUACUCCUCCGACUUUGUAAAAGCAACCAAAUCAUCCAUAAUCUCCUUCUUCCUCCCCGGAUCAAUCGCCAGAGUCUCGAACGACGCGGGAUGGUUGAACGGAAUGUGGCUCCACGACGCUGUUUCGUUGCCGCCAUGAGUCUUUUUCGAGCCGUUUGCAUGAAGAUUCCUCUGUCUGUUACGAAGCUCGAUGGCAUUUCCUUCUUCUAUCACAUGCUUUAUGUAAUCCCCAGUGACGAACUCUCUAUGCUUCCUGUUGAACGUAAGCUUGUAGAAUCUCUUCUUGUCAUUGAAAUAGGAUUUGGCGACGGUGCUUUCUUUGGACCAGAGUAGGUUGAGACCUUGGUAAUCAUCGGUGACCUCCUGGUGAUCCUCCAUGCUGAGAAGGAGCUUGUGGUUGCCUCUGUAAGAGUCGGCUUUGAGGCUCCUGGCUUGCUGGAUGGAUUUUGAACGCAGGUAGUUCUCAAUGGCUGUGUAGGCGGUGUUGCGCCUGUAAUGGUGGUCGUCGGAGUAUUCGUGGAAGGUGACCUCGAUGUAAGGGUAGAGGAAGGACAUGAAUUUGUGGAGGAACUUUCCGAUGAGGUUCUGAUAGUCUCGAGGGAGGUUUCUGUGGAACAUUGUGCUGAGGAAGAACAGGGUUGGAAGAUAGGAGCUGAGUUGGCCGAGCAUAUUUCCUAAAUUUUGAUUCUUUGAUUUCCUCAGUGAUGAAACACGACUGAACUCUUUCCCUUCUUAUUAUGCAUCAUGACCUUCGUUAAUAAGUUUCAGUUUUUGAAUGAAUUGUGUGGAGGUCAGAGGUCAAGAAUGUGGAAUUUGUGUGCCUGUGUUGUUGUCAGUGAUCGAAGGCAUUUGAAUGCAUCACAAGAUUUGUGCAUGUCUCUGACAACAGGUCGACCAAUGACGAGAAGUUGGAACUGGAGAACUCUUGCAAAAGUGAUGAGUUUCUGGGCAAUGCGGGAGUUCCAGCAAUUAGUAAUGGGCGAUUAUUUUACAAUGUAAGUACAUUAUGAUAUGAUAAUUUUAAUUAUGAAAUGUAUAGAAAUAUUAUUUGGAAUUGUCAACACUUACCAGUAAAUUUUGAGAUUUCAUUUGGAGGUAGAGGUAUUAUACAUGAAAACUUGGGAUAAUUUUAUUAUUAUUCUGUACUCUAAGUCUUAAGGUGAAAUUAAUUCAAACAACAUUCAAACUUUAAGGCUGAAAAUUAGUAAAUAUCCGUAAAUUGUAACCUGAAUUCCUGAUGAAUAUUUUAAUUUUAAAUUAUAAAUAAUCCAUAUUAUUUUUAUUCAUAAUCAUUUAAUUUAAAUUCGAUACAUCAAAAUCACCAACAAAUAAAUCUGUUAAUAAAGUAACUCAAAAACUUUAAAAAAAAUUACUUUGUCCAUCAAAAAUUUAAAACGUUACCAAUUGUCACUAGGAUUGUUGGUGAAGAGCUUCCUCUGCCUAUUCCUGACAGCAAUGUUCUUCCCUUCCGCCAAAACCUUGUGAAUAUACAACUUGGUAACAACCUCCCUAUACCUUUUAUGAAACGUCAGCGUGUAAAACCUCCUCUCUUCAGCUUUCGGGUAGAAAGAAAUCCGUCGACGACUUGUUCGUGGUCCUCCAUGGUGAGGACCAGCGACUUGCUGUCCUUGACGACAUCGGCCUUGAGCCUCUUGGCGGUGGCGAUGGUGUGGGUGCUGAGGUAGUUCUGAAUGGCGAAGAAGGCGUCGCUGCUCUUAAGCUUAUCUCCUGUGAGCUCGCGGAAGGUGAUUUGGAUGUACGGGUAGAAUAGUCCGAUCAGCUUGCUUGUGUAUCUGUGUAAGUAGCCGCGGAGCUCGUAAGGGAAGUACUGCUGGAACAUUGCGUAGAAGAACAUUAGAGCGGCUGCUGCUGAUCCUAUCCUGCCCCAUAUUGUUGUGUUUUCUGUGUUCAUCUUUGCCUUUGGUUGUUGUUGUGUGUGCUCUGAGGUUUAAGUUCAGGGUUUAUAUAUAGCGGUGAGGUCAUUACAGAGAGGUGAGGACGACAAUGCUAUAAGAAGUAUAUCUUUCCCUUUCUAGUUACAACUUGCUCAGGAAGUAAUAGUCUAGAAUAAGUAGUACACGGACUCAACCCCUAUAUAUGCAAAAGUGAAUUCUUUAGUUUCACCGGAGUUUGGUAAUUGACCAAGGGAGUUUCGAAUUCAUAAGAUUAAAACUGGACCUUGUAUAUGAUAGAAGAUAACCCUACACUAAACAAUCUGAUCUGCAAAGAUUGCCAAGAGAGACACCAUUUUUGCAGGUUGGCGUGUAUUGAGAAACAAAACUCUGGACGUAGCAAUUAUGGUGUUUUGGGACAUUCUUGCAGUUUUGGUAUGGAAAGGUUCAUUGACAAAAUUAGCUUGAGAGAGUGACGUGCAUUGCAUGGAAUGGAAUUGAACGUACGUCAUAGGAAUAUGGUUUGCAGACUUUGGCGCAGUAUGUUUGGUUGGUGGCAACCAAUCAAUGCAUUUGUACAGUAGGUUGUAUGACAGUAGGGGAGACCAGUAAAUGUAAUGAUGAGAAGUUGGAAUUGUACAACUCUUGCACAUGUGAUAAGUUUCUAUGCAACAUUAUGUGGGGAGUUCCAGCGAUCAAUCUAAUGGGCGAGUAUUUUC
Molecule: long non-coding RNA, 4579 nt
Filed under: Linum usitatissimum (flax)
Lineage: Eukaryota; Viridiplantae; Streptophyta; Magnoliopsida; Malpighiales; Linaceae
Description: long non-coding RNA (LUSI_LNC002499)
Source: RNAcentral